GGGUGCUUGAGGCUUGUCUGGCUUGAGCAGUGUUGUUCGAGGCAUAUAAGACGAAAGCCCCGGGGAAAUUUUUUCAAUCUACCCGAGGCUAUCACUUCAUACCUAGACAGCAUGAGGAUAGCCUCUUAAAAGCAGAAAUGCAACGGAGGGCAAGAUG
This 157-nucleotide antisense RNA is filed under the name Rahnella sp. BIGb0236. Its description in RNAcentral is "sok antitoxin". It matches the Rfam family "sok antitoxin (CssrC)". Rfam says of the family: Also identified in Shigella as CssrC. The record is from RNAcentral. Lineage: Bacteria; Pseudomonadati; Pseudomonadota; Gammaproteobacteria; Enterobacterales; Yersiniaceae.